This 1225-nucleotide long non-coding RNA is filed under the name Cricetulus griseus (Chinese hamster). RNAcentral describes it as "lncRNA (ENSCGRG00015041277.1)". The record is from RNAcentral. Lineage: Eukaryota; Metazoa; Chordata; Mammalia; Rodentia; Cricetidae.
CAGCCCCCCGCCCGCCGGCCGCAGAGCCCCGGUGCAGACCUGCUCCGCAGGCGGCUAUCUGCACCCGCGAGGGCGUCUGCCCAGACAUCGGGUCUGCCUCCUGCGGAGCCCCCCGCCCUCCGCCGGGCUGCACUGCACGAGGGGGCAUCGGGGCUUGUGUAGGGGACCCCAGACACCGCCUCCUGAGGAGGCUCGACGGCCACUUUAGUGCCAGGGUGCACGUGUGGAAAGGGGCUGGAUCCCAAGGAGCUGUCCCGAGGGUGCUGGCUGGACUGGGAGGAGGACCAGAGAGCAGGGAUCCCUUAAGGAGUGAGGUCCAGGGGAGGACGAGGGAGUGGAGGAGGGCACAGGCCGAAAGUCAAGUCAGGGAAAUCUCACUAGACGGCUGGAGCCCCGCAGCUCCGAGAACAGCGAUGGGGCUCUACCAUAGAAGCCCAGCCAUGAGGAGGAGCGAACUGGGCUCAUUACUAGCCAGGUCACAGCAUGGUGGUUAAAAACGUGCUGAGGGGCCUUUCUCAACAAGGUUCCCCUUUCCCAGAUGCUUGAGAGGCUGCUCUGAAUGAAGGUUAAGUGGGAGCCUGAGGAGGAAGCUGUGUCAGAGGAAAGCCUGCAUGUAUUCAAGCAUGAAGCGUUUUAUAUCUAUCGGAGCCCAGAUGCAUGCUAGGAGCCAGAGCCCAGCAGCCACCCAGUGUUGGCCUCAGAGCCUGGCCCAUCCCAGAGGGAGAGGGUGCCAGGCCUUAUCAGAGAGGCCAAGGCUGGAUUGACCAGAUUUUUCCAGUGCUCACCCGCCCCCUGGUGGUCAUCAUGAGCAUUCCAGGCCUUAGCAAUCUUGAGAAAGAGAUGGCAGAAGAUAGCCUCGGGGCUAGCCUUCUUCUCUAGUGCCCUUCAUUGACUUGUUGGUUUCUGCUGUCAGUGAUCUUACCAUGCAGUGAUGUUCUACGAAUCAACCCCUCAUCUCCAUACCCUGUGACACGCCUCCCUCCCUGGACCCUGCCUGAGGCUCCCACUUACACCAGGCCUGGACUUGAGUUUUCCAGGGAGGACAACUUCUUUGGCCAAAGGUCUCCCAGGAAGACUUUGUCCACUUGUCGUUGGCCACAAAUUCAAGUUAUCCUGUGGGGUUCUUGAGUAGGUUCAAGAAAACUUUAGGGUCUGAACUACGAUCAUGAACCAGAGUGAUACAUAUGAAAUGAACUCAAAACUGCAGAGGAAACAAGAACCCCAG